CUUGAGCUGGCGCUGGAAAGUGGUCUCUGGGGAGUACUUGUCCAUGCGCCACACACUGUUGGGAGGGCACUCCUCCAUUCCGUCGCUGGCCGCGCGAGAAAAUGCGAUGCGCAGAAAAUUCCGCCGGAUCUCCAGAAUCGUGCCCUCGAACGACUGGUAGUCGUCCAUGGUCUAUUUGCCCCAGAAAACUUAUUCAUCGUUGUGUGCAAUCCAUGGCGUUGCAACAUCAUAACAAUAAAUUACCGUUCCUCUCAAUCCAUGGUCAGAUAACCCGGAACAACUACUUAUCUUUGCAUGCAUUCCAUUGUCUGGGAGCCUCAGAAAUAUCCCCCAUCAUUGCAUGCACUCCAGUUAGAUGACAUCCUGAACCCCUUCUAGCCCGGUAGGUCUGCCCAGCAUUCGUAGAGUUGGCUGCCAUGCCCAGGCGAUUGUAGCACGAGAGGGGCAGCUGUCAUAUAAAUAGGUACUGUGCCAGUGAGGCAAUGGCGUGCAUGUCAGCAGCAAGACCAGAUAAAAACUAUAAGUGCAUGAAUAUGCUCUCACCGUGCCACGAACGGCUUCGGGUAGCUGCCCGUCCUGCAUGGUCCUGACCAGCAAGAUGCCAUCUCCCUGGG
This 614-nucleotide long non-coding RNA is filed under the name Coccomyxa subellipsoidea. RNAcentral's name for it is "long non-coding RNA (CSUB_LNC000320)". The record is from RNAcentral. Lineage: Eukaryota; Viridiplantae; Chlorophyta; Trebouxiophyceae; Coccomyxaceae.